AUUGAACGCUGGCGGCAUGCCUUACACAUGCAAGUCGAACGGUAACGGGCCUUCGGGUGCCGACGAGUGGCGAACGGGUGAGUAAUGCAUCGGAACGUACCUUUCAGUGGGGGAUAACGUAGCGAAAGUUACGCUAAUACCGCAUAUUCUGUGAGCAGGAAAGCAGGGGAUCGCAAGACCUUGCGCUGAUUGAGCGGCCGAUGUCAGAUUAGCUAGUUGGUGAGGUAAAGGCUCACCAAGGCGACGAUCUGUAGCGGGUCUGAGAGGAUGAUCCGCCACACUGGAACUGAGACACGGUCCAGACUCCUACGGGAGGCAGCAGUGGGGAAUUUUGGACAAAUGGGGGGCAACCCUGAUCCAGCCAUGCCGCGUGAGUGAAGAAGG
This 384-nucleotide ribosomal RNA is filed under the name uncultured bacterium. Its description in RNAcentral is "bacterial SSU rRNA". It matches the Rfam family "Bacterial small subunit ribosomal RNA", at positions 30 to 414 of the family's 1533-position model. The record is from RNAcentral.